UACGGAGGAUGCAAGCGUUAUCCGGAAUUAUUGGGCGUAAAGCGUCCGCAGGCGGUUUCACAAGUCUGCUGUCAAAGACUGGAGCUUAACUCCGGGCAGGCGGUGGAAACUGUGAAACUAGAGUACGGUAGGGGUAGAGGGAAUUCCCAGUGUAGCGGUGAAAUGCGUAGAGAUUGGGAAGAACACCAGUGGCGAAGGCGCUCUACUGGGCCGUAACUGACGCUCAGGGACGAAAGCUAGGGGAGCGAAAGGG
RNAcentral lists this ribosomal RNA (253 nucleotides) under uncultured bacterium. RNAcentral describes it as "partial 16S ribosomal RNA". It matches the Rfam family "Bacterial small subunit ribosomal RNA", at positions 524 to 776 of the family's 1533-position model. The record is from RNAcentral.